This 500-nucleotide ribosomal RNA is filed under the name uncultured bacterium. RNAcentral describes it as "partial 16S ribosomal RNA". It matches the Rfam family "Bacterial small subunit ribosomal RNA", at positions 30 to 523 of the family's 1533-position model. The record is from RNAcentral.
AUUGAACGCUGGCGGCAGGCUUAACACAUGCAAGUCGAGCGGGGGAAGGUAGCUUGCUACCGGACCUAGCGGCGGGCGGGUGAGUAAUGCUUAGGAAUCUGCCUAUUAGUGGGGGACAACAUCUCGAAAGGGAUGCUAAUACCGCAUACGUCCUACGGGAGAAAGCAGGGGCUCUUCGGACCUUGCGCUAAUAGAUGAGCCUAAGUCGGAUUAGCUAGGUGGUGGGGUAAAGGCCUACCAAGGGGACGAUCUGUAGCGGGUCUGAGACGAUGAUCCGCCACACUGGGACUGAGACACGGCCCAGACUCCUACGGGAGGCAGCAGUGGGGAAUAUUGGACAUGGGGGGAACCCUGAUCCAGCCAUGCCGCGUGUGUGAAGAAGGCCUUAUGGUUGUAAAGCACUUUAAGCGAGGAGGAGGCUACUUUAGUUAAUACCUAGAGAUAGUGGACGUUACUCGCAGAAUAAGCACCGGCUAACUCUGUGCCAGCAGCCGCCGUAA